CACGUAGGGUGCAAGCGUUGUCCGGAAUCAUUGGGCGUAAAGAGCUCGUAGGUGGUUUGUCGCGUUGUUCGUGAAAACUCACAGCUCAACUGUGGGCGUGCGGGCGAUACGGGCAGACUGGAGUACUGCAGGGGAGACUGGAAUUCCUGGUGUAGCGGUGGAAUGCGCAGAUAUCAGGAGGAACACCGGUGGCGAAGGCGGGUCUCUGGGCAGUAACUGACGCUGAGGAGCGAAAGCGUGGGGAGCGAACAGG
RNAcentral lists this ribosomal RNA (253 nucleotides) under uncultured bacterium. Its description in RNAcentral is "partial 16S ribosomal RNA". It matches the Rfam family "Bacterial small subunit ribosomal RNA", at positions 524 to 776 of the family's 1533-position model. The record is from RNAcentral.